RNAcentral lists this ribosomal RNA (505 nucleotides) under uncultured bacterium. Its description in RNAcentral is "partial 16S ribosomal RNA". It matches the Rfam family "Bacterial small subunit ribosomal RNA", at positions 28 to 507 of the family's 1533-position model. The record is from RNAcentral.
GACGAACGCUGGCGGCGUGCCUAAUACAUGCAAGUAGAACGCACAGUUUAUACCGUAACUUGCUACACCAUAGACUGUGAGUUGCGAACGGGUGAGUAACGCGUAGGUAACCUGCCUGGUAGCGGGGGAUAACUAUUGGAAACGAUAGCUAAUACCGCAUAAUAUUAAUUAUUGCAUGAUAAUUAAUUGAAAGGUGCAAUUGCACCACUACCAGAUGGACCUGCGUUGUAUUAGCUAGUAGGUGAGGUAACGGCUCACCUAGGCGACGAUACAUAGCCGACCUGAGAGGGUGAUCGGCCACACUGGGACUGAGACACGGCCCAGACUCCUACGGGAGGCAGCAGUAGGGAAUCUUCGGCAAUGGACGAAAGGCUGACCGAGCAACGCCGCGUGAGUGAAGAAGGUUUUCGGAUCGUAAAGCUCUGUUGUAAGAGAAGAACGGGUGUGAGAGUGGAAAGUUCACACUGUGACGGUAUCUUACCAGAAAGGGACGGCUAACUACGUG